Molecule: ribosomal RNA, 480 nt
Filed under: uncultured bacterium
Lineage: Bacteria
Description: partial 16S ribosomal RNA
Rfam family: Bacterial small subunit ribosomal RNA
Source: RNAcentral
GAUGAACGCUAGCGGCAGGCCUAACACAUGCAAGUCGAGGGGUAGAAGGAGCUUGCUCCUUUGAGACCGGCGCACGGGUGCGUAACGCGUAUGCAAUCUACCUUGUACAGGGGAAUAGCCCAGAGAAAUUUGGAUUAAUGCCCCAUAGUAUAUAACCUUCGCAUGUUGGUUAUAUUAAAGUUCCAACGGUACAAGAUGAGCAUGCGUCCCAUUAGUUAGUUGGUAAGGUAACGGCUUACCAAGACGAUGAUGGGUAGGGGUCCUGAGAGGGAGAUCCCCCACACUGGUACUGAGACACGGACCAGACUGCUACGGGAGGGAGCAGUGAGGAAUAUUGGUCAAUGGUCGCUAGACUGAACCAGCCAUGCCGCGUGCAGGAAGACGGUCCUAGGGAUUGUAAACUGCUUUUAUACAGGAAAAAACCCUCCCACGUGUGGGAGCUUGACGGUACUGUAGGAAUAAGGAUCGGCUAACUCCGUG